GACGAACGCUGGCGGCGUGCUUAACACAUGCAAGUCGAACGGAAAGGCCCUGCUUGUGUGGGGUGCUCGAGUGGCGAACGGGUGAGUAACACGUGAGUAACCUGCCCUUGACUUUGGGAUAACUUCAGGAAACUGGGGCUAAUACCGUAUAGGAGCUCCUGCUGCAUGGUGGGGGUUGGAAAGUUUCGGCGGUUGGGGAUGGACUCGCGGCUUAUCAGCUUGUUGGUGGGGUAGUGGCUUACCAAGGCUUUGACGGGUAGCCGGCCUGAGAGGGUGACCGGCGACAUUGGGACUGAGAUACGGACCAGACUCCUACGGGAGGCAGCAGUGGGGAAUAUUGCACAAUGGGCGGAAGCCUGAUGCAGCAACGCCGCGUGCGGGAUGACGGCCUUCGGGUUGUAAACAGCUUUCGCCUGUGACGAAGCGUGAGUGACGGUAAUGGGUAAAGAAGCACCGGCUAACUACGUG
Molecule: ribosomal RNA, 468 nt
Filed under: uncultured bacterium
Lineage: Bacteria
Description: partial 16S ribosomal RNA
Rfam family: Bacterial small subunit ribosomal RNA
Source: RNAcentral